Molecule: ribosomal RNA, 424 nt
Filed under: uncultured bacterium
Lineage: Bacteria
Description: partial 16S ribosomal RNA
Rfam family: Bacterial small subunit ribosomal RNA
Source: RNAcentral
AAUUCUGCACAAUGGGUGCAAGCCUCAUCCAGCCAUGCCGCGUGAGUGAUGAAGGCCUUCGGGCUGUAAACCUCUUCCGGACGGAUAGAAAUCGCGCAGGCUAAUACCCUGCGCGGAUGACGGUACCGGCAUAAGACACCCCCGCUAACUACGUGCCCGCAGCCGCGGUAAUACGUAGGGUGCGAGCGUUAAUCGGCAUUACUGGGCGUAAAGGAAGCGCAGGCGGUUGAUUAAGACAGGCGUGCAAUCCUCGGGCUUAACCUGGGAACUGCGCCUGUGACUGGUCAGCUAGAGUACGGCAGAGGGGAGUGGAAUUCCACGUGUAGCAGUGAAAUGCGUAGAGAUGUGGAGGAACACCGAUGGCGAAGGCAGGCCCCUGGGCCGAUACUGACGCUCAUGCACGAAAGCGUGGGUAGCAAACAGG